This 490-nucleotide ribosomal RNA is filed under the name uncultured bacterium. RNAcentral's name for it is "partial 16S ribosomal RNA". It matches the Rfam family "Bacterial small subunit ribosomal RNA", at positions 30 to 507 of the family's 1533-position model. The record is from RNAcentral.
AUUGAACGCUGGCGGCAUGCCUUACACAUGCAAGUCGAACGGCAGCAUGAUCUAGCUUGCUAGAUUGAUGGCGAGUGGCGAACGGGUGAGUAAUACAUCGGAACGUGCCCUGUAGUGGGGGAUAACUAGUCGAAAGAUUAGCUAAUACCGCAUACGACCUGAGGGUGAAAGUGGGGGACCGCAAGGCCUCAUGCUAUAGGAGCGGCCGAUGUCUGAUUAGCUAGUUGGUGAGGUAAAGGCUCACCAAGGCGACGAUCAGUAGCUGGUCUGAGAGGACGAUCAGCCACACUGGGACUGAGACACGGCCCAGACUCCUACGGGAGGCAGCAGUGGGGAAUUUUGGACAAUGGGCGAAAGCCUGAUCCAGCAAUGCCGCGUGUGUGAAGAAGGCCUUCGGGUUGUAGAGCACUUUUGUCCGGAAAGAAAUGGCUCUGGUUAAUACCUGGGGUCGAUGACGGUACCGGAAGAAUAAGGACCGGCUAACUACGUG